GGGGCGGCCGCUGUGACCUCCGGGCGUUGCAGACGCCGCCCCCCGCGGCCGGCGAUAGGUCCCUCUCCACCUAGGCGACCUGAGGAGCGGGGCGGGGAGAGCAGACGCUGCGGCGCGCGGCAGCGGGAUGUGGGCUCCGGGCGGCCCCCCGGAACCCGCGGGCUGGGACCGCCGCAGAGUGGGCGCGAGGCUGCGCGCGGCGCUGGCUGGGCUGCAGGAGCUGCAGGGGCUGCGCGCUGCGCAGCAGGCACGGGUGCGGGGUGCCCUGGCCAUGCAGCCCGCGCCCGCCGGUUCCCGCCGCCCCGGCGGCCAGGAGUUGCGGCUGGAGGCGGCGCUGGCCGCGCUGCAGGAGCAGCUGUCCCGGCUGAGACGGCAGGACACUGGCCUGAAGACCCACUUGGACCAGCUGGACCAGCAGAUCAGUGAGCUGCAGCUGGGCGUGCGCAGGUCUUCUGCCGAGGUCCUGGACAGCGACAGCAGGCCCAGCUCAGGCUUCUAUGAGCUGAGCGAUGCGGGCUCCUGCUCCCUGUCCACUUCCUGUGCCUCCGUGUGCAGUGACCGCCUAUCGCCCUCGCUGGGCAGUCUGCUGCCUGCAGUCUCCAUGGCGAGGCCCAGCAUGGGGGACUGGCGACCUCGGUCUGCUGAUGAGACCACUGUGCCAGCAUGGAGACCUCGGCCCAUCAAGGAGAGUGACAGGCUCCUGGACAGCAUGGAGGACACUGGCCAGCCCCGGGGCAUAUUCCGGCCCAGGCCAGUGUCUACAGGCGAUCUCGAGCGAGUCCUCCCAGUCAACAUGGGGCUCCCGAGCGUCGACCAGGAUGCCACACCCCCCUCCCAACUCUGCCAGGGGACAGACGUUCCGUCCCCCGAGCUGGACCCCAAGUACCAGUGCCACCUAGUGUCCAGAGGUGGCCGGGAGGUGUACCUGUACCCCAGCCCCCUGCACGCAGUGGCUCUGCAGAGCCCCCUGUUCGCACUGACUAAGGAGACCCCGCAGCUAGACAGCCAUUUGCCCCCCAGGAACCCUCCUUUGGGCCCCAGGGGUCUGAGCACAACCCCUGCCGAGCCUGUCCUGGAGGCAGGUCCAGCUGGAGCCUACAUUGACAGGCUGCUGCGUCUGCCAAGCAGAGAGGCCCCCUCAGCGGGUGUUGGGGGGGACCAGGGACCCUCAGGACGUGAAGCAUCCCCAUCCCCCCGGAAGCCAGAUGCCCAGAGACUAGUCAGUGGAGAUGGAGCUGGAAAGCUGCUCUGUGCCCCAGGGAGAGGGGGCCUGGGAGGGGCAGCUCAGAGCAGGCGCAGCAGUGGACACAGCCCUGGGCUGCGGGGGCCUGCACCCCUCCCGCACGCCCAGUCCCCCAGACGCCCCCCGGAGCUGGGGCCCGAGCCCUGGAACAGCCGCACCUACAGGGAAGACCCGGUGGGCCCCGCUCCCUGCCCCCAGGCCCCGCAGCCCCAUGGGGACUGUAGCCCAUGCACCUCCUCCCCCUCCGGGAGCGUGGACUGUGAGAGUCCCCCUAAGGCCCCAGGGCAUCUUGUCCACCCUCCCUGCACCGGCAGCGAAGCCUCCCGGACAGGGCUGAAGAUGGGCCACCCCAAGCCUAAGCCUGUGAAGGUCAGGAGGAAGGCCAGUGACAAGACGCCGAGGCUGGGAACGCAGGCGCCACUGCCGCCAGAGAGACCUGGGGGUGUCCACCCCGCCCCCCAGCUGCCCCCAGAGUAUGAGCCCACACACAGGCCCCAGGAGGGAGGGCUCAGGAGGAGGCCUGUGCUGGCCGGGGGCACUCCCGGACGGUCCUGCUCCGAGUCCACUCUGUACCCUGUGCCCUUCUUCGUCCCCCUGCUGGUGGCCCAGCGGGAGAGCUACCGGGCCUCGUCCCACGCCCUGUCCUCCACUGAGGCUGCCCAGCUUUGUGCAGCCACCAGGAGGAAGCAGCACAGGUGGCUGUCCACUGUGGAGAUCUCAGCCGAGGCCCACCCGGCCAGCGGUCAGGAGCCCAGCCUGGGGCCCCAGAGGCCCCCAGCCAGGAGAGCAGGUGGCCUGCAAGCCCAGGGCAGGCCCACGCUGGCCCGCCAGGAUGCCUGUGCCAGGAGCCAGCCGGACCCCUCCGAGCCCUCGGCCGAGUGUGCUUCGCUGCUGCAGGUCACCACCGCAGAGAGCAGCGAGGAGGCGGCCAGCGACCACACCGCCAACCGCUUUGGGGACGGGGAGUCCAGCAGCAGCGACUCGGAGGGCUGCUUCCAGAGCCGCAGCGGCCGCCUGGGGGUGGGAGGUGCAGCUGCCAGAGACGGGGAGCUGGCCCGGCCCUGGCUGGCCCUCCAGCAGCCCCCACGGGCCCCGGCAGGUGCAAGGCCUCCCCUGCCCCCUGUGCCUAAGCUGUGCCGCAUCAAAGCCUCCAGGGCCCUGAAGAAAAAGAUCCGCAGGUUCCAGCCAGCGGCCCUGAAGGUCAUGACCAUGGUGUGAGGCGGUCCCCUGACAAGCCUGGCCACGGCACAGAGGCCUGGCCGCACUGCGUGGACAGUGUGGGUUCGCAGGUCACCUGCCAGCUUGCUGACCUCCUGAGUGGCCGUCCGAGGAGCCCCUCAGGUGGUGCUGGCCCUGGGAUACAGCUGCAUGCUCCGUGGGGUGAUUUUUCUUCCCCAGCAGAUUUGCGAGGACUUUGAAGUUGCAGAGGAUACAGCCUCUGCCAGCAGCCCCCUCCUCUCCCCUGUGCCCCCUUGACCCACUUCAGUGUCUGUAAGCCAUUCCCCCCAAACACCAUUACUUUAGAGACGUGGCGGACUCUGUGCCGGUGCUGGAUUCGAGUGUGAACUCCGUGUUAAGCUCUCAGUGUGAAUAAACUACCGCACUGCCAUUGUCCUGGCCAGGGGAGCCCACUGUCUGCUCUGUCUGCAGCCGCUCCUCCUGGUCCCUGUGCGAGAGGCACUGGGUGCUCCUUCCUGCUCUGGCCCCGAGGGCGGGCAGGCGGGUGACGAAAGUGGGGUCACGUUCUAGGUCCCAUACGGGUGUUGUAGGAAAAUAACUUUCUUUAGGGUGUCGGUUUUUCCAAGCAAACUCCUCUCCGCUUUUCAAGGAGAAAGAUGGAGGCUUUUCAGCUUAGCUGCUCUGUGCCUCAGUCUGCGCAGCCCACACCCGGCUUUUUCCUGGGUGAUCACAGCCGCCUCUAGGUGCACUCUGGCCCAGAGCUGCAGAAGGGGUUGGGGGCACCAAAGUCCUCACACUUCUGGACCCCUCCCUAAUUUGGGGAAGAAACUCUUAAGAAAAUCAGCUGAAAAUAGUAGUGAAUUUUAUUAUACUAGUUGCCAAUUAUUCCUGGAACAUGUCGCUGGCUCCAGGAUGCAGUUUGAAGAGCCUGACAUUUUAAACACCGAUUAGCAUCUUAAGAAGAGGAGUCCCCCUCUUUUCUGUAAGGCUUUCAGUGCAGACCACUCCAAAACGCAGGCAGCACAGGGCAGAGCAGACCUGAAGGGUGCACGCCUCCUUGCCCACGCAGAUGCCCGCCUGUGCUUCCUGGAACUGCCUGCCAGAGUCUUGUGCUUUUUAAAAAGCUGCCUUGAAGUUUCAAGGAUGCUUCAAGCCCACUUGUGUCUGGGCUUCCCGUAAGAGACAUCACUCCGGACAGUCUACACACACGGUCCGACUCCAUCCCAGGUGAGGGAAACUGGCUUUGCCAGGACUCCUGCCUGCAAGGCCACUGAGGCAGCCUGGUAGUCCCGCUGGCAGGUCCACAUUUGCUCAGCCGCUCUGCAUCCCCAGCUGGGCGUCCUGGAGAGGGCUGCUGCCUCUGCCUCCUGGACAUCUUCUGUGGCCUCUGCUGGAGCUUCCACGGUUGGAAGCUUCGAGCAAACUACAAGCAAAGUGCAGACCUCUUGUUCCUUGUGAGGUGCGUCCCAUCCUGUGUCACCUUCCGGGGGCAGUCUGUGUCCCUGGCAGGCAGAGUGCAGGCAGCACAGAGGGGAACCUGAACCUGCAUCAGGGCCUGUCUGCAGCCCUGCAAACCAGCCAUGGAAACCGUGCCACACCACCCCAAAGCAGUGGGCAGCAAGGGUCCUUGGUGGCCAGACCGUGCGGAUCAGCCCACCUGUGUCUUCCCUGCUCCCUGUCCACCCUGUCUUUCUCAGCAGCUUGCUCUCUCCUUGUCCACCCCCCUUCUGCCUCUUGCCUGUCCUUAAAGAAAAAUCAUCCAGUGACACUUGCUGAAACAAGGGAGGAAGACGCUGGGCAGGACUAUCCUGACAGGACAGGGGAUCCUCAGGGCAGGGUCUCAACUCUGAGCAGCACAGGCCAGAGGGGCUCUAUGGCCAAGCAGCAGACAGGGGCUCUGGACAGGAAAUGACGGAGAGGGGACACCAGGGGUUGGGUACUGUGGCCAAAUCCUCCCAACAGGAUUCUUCCUGAAGACGGACCUGGUCCUCAGACUUCCCCUGGGCAGAGCCCAUCAGACCUCAGGGCAGGGCUUCUUACUGAAGUGACUCAGCAGGCGCUGGCCGAGGUGGGAUUUUACAGGAACACUCAGUGGUGGGCCGGGGAAGCUGCGUAGCCCCACAGAGGGAUCGGAGCUCUGUCUCAUGGUCUCUCAGUGGGGCCGACAGACAUUUUGAUUUCUGAGCUAGACCCUGGCUUUUGGCUCUCAGUUCCUCUCAAGAGGUCUGAAGCAAGUGGAUACAAAUCCCAUGAUUCCUCCUAGUCCUCGUCCUCCUGCCUGUGUGCCAGGUCCUCGCUCAGCAAUGAGCAGGGCCACGUGACUGUGGGGCAGUGGGCAGCUUCAGGACUGGCCGAACUGGCUCCUGUCAUAAAUGAGGUUGAUGGUAGCUUAGGUUCGGAAUAAGGAGCAAAUCGAUGGCAUUGAAAACCGAACCCUGGCCUUCUGGGCUCCGCAGAGUGCCUCCAGCCAGGCACAGCCUCCCUCUGGGUCGAAUCAUCCCUCAGGCUCUCCAGACGAGUGGACAGGCUGCGGUGUGGGCGCUGGUGCAGGGGGGACCCAAGGAGAUACUUUACGUACUUGUUACAGGGCACCGUGACCCAGGCCUGUGAUCCCAGGGAUAGGAGGCUGAGGCAGGAGGAGGCAAAGUUUGAGGCCAACCUGGGCAACUUAGUGAGACCCGCUCUCAAAACAAAAUAACCAGAGCUGGGAGGUGGCUCCCUGGCCGACUUCACGUGUGCGUGAGGCUCAGAUCCGAGUCCCAGCCCUGCAGCCAAACAACAGAACAGAAAACGUCCAAGUCAGAGCCCCAGGGACAAGAAACGUGGCACAGACGUCGAGGGCGGAGAUGUUGCCCAGGAAACCACCCGGCCGCCAGCGCAGUCCCGCCAGCAUGGUCGUCUUCGAGACAGGCAGGGGUGUGACCACUCGCACGGAAGAGGAUGAGCAGAACCCGCAGACAGGCUGCGGCCUGGCACCUGGGGACUCAGGCAGCACCGAUGGUGCACCCAGAGGGAGACGAGCUCACCCACCCCUCCUGCGUUAAGUAGAGAGCCGAGGAUUCAGCCUCAGGGCCCGUCAGAAAUCCUUUGAAACUAACCCCCAGCACGCUUGAAAUAUGCUAGCAAAAAGAGAGGUCAACUCUAGGUCAGAGCGAGGUAGAAAGUAAAUAAGCUUAAUUGUUGUGUUAGAGAAAGUACCCCACAUACCUAGCACCUCCUGUUACAUCACUGAAGGAAACAGGAUGUGUUGUCUUCACUAAUUAGACCUGGGAAUUCUCCGGGGCCUCGGAAGGGCUUCCUCUGAACCCGCUGUGCGCCGUGGCUGCCGGCUGCUGGGUCCCCAGCCCUGAGCACACGGGCCUGGGGAAACCCGGGCCCCGCAGGUCCACCCGGACCCACCUGACCGUUGACUGCGUAACCACUGCCGAAAGGGGAGGGAUCAACGGAAAUGGCGGAACUCUCACAAAUGCAGGCUCCCCACAGCCGGUUUAUGAUCAGUCCACAAGCCCAACUUUAAAGGGGGACGUCUAUGAGGAUUCAUCUGCUGCCCCAAGAUCUCCCGGGAGAAGUGACUCCCUCAGCUCCAGACUGGAGCUCCCCUGGACCCUCCUGCGCAUUGCAGGGACCCACCUUCUGCAGCACACAGGGCCCUGUUUCAAAGCGGGGCUGGCGAGUGGCGGCUCGUGCCCAGGACUUCAGGAGGUGCAGGGAAUGGCCCCCGGCCUCCCCUCACCACAAGAGACCCUCUCACUGCCGUGCCCGAGUACCAGUCCUCUUCCCUGCGACUGGGGGAGCGGUGGGGACUACCAGAGAUCCUGCUCCAUUCUCCCUGCCACUGAGUUGCGUUUAUCGAGCACCUGCUGUAUGCUGUUUACUCAGAGCUAGGUGUGGGAAGAAGCAGAGUCGGGGACCACUCAGGGGCAGCUCCAGCUCCUUGCAGAAGGUCUGCAGGAAGCACUGACAACCCUCCAGGGGCUGCGGACUGGGAGGGCUGGCAGUGGGAAGUGCAGUCAGGGGUUGAGUCAGGGGCUGCAUCUGGUUGAGGGCAGGAGGAGGAAGGAGAGAAGGAGAAAGGGGUGCUGGGGUAGCCGGGAAGAGGGCCAGCACAGGGCCUGGGCCGGGUUGAGGCUGGACAGGUGGUGGCAUAGGUGCCCUUGGACCGAGGUGGUCAGCAACCACCCGGGACUCCGAUGUGCAGGGUAUGGAGCCCCACCAGACAGAACAAGCAGAGGCUGAUUGCACAAGGCCUGCUGCGUCUGGGCAGCUGGAGACUCAGGCGGGCACAGGAGCCACAGGUUCUGGCUGGAAAGGAGGCCUGGUGCACCCUGAAGGCCAUGGCCAGGGAGGUGGCCCUCCCAGGGGCCUGCUGUGGGCAGGUGGAGGCGCCUUCUGCUUUCUCUGGUUGGUCCCACAUUAGGAGGAACGAUGAUGUCAGUUGCAGGCCACUUCCUGGCAGUUGGGCCUACGCCCUAGAGGUCUCUGCCUCCUAGAGGGUGCCUGGACACGGGGCCUGGCUCCCAGUGGGUCCCAGGGCGGCUGCUGGGCCCAGGUUGUGUAUUGGACCAGGGGUCUGCUUGCUCGGCAGCCUGUCCUACCUGUGAGUCCGAGUUCUGUUUUCCCACGUGGCCUGGCCUUUGUCCUUUUGUGUAUUCGGUCUUGCAGAAGCAGGAGGAGGACAUAAUUAGAUUUGUGUUAAGCAAGACCCCCUGUCUGGGCUGAGGCUGCCUUCUGGAUGGAGGCCGGACCCAACUUGUGGCUGGGACCUGGUGUGGGAGAGGCACCGAUUGUCCCCUGCCUUCCUGCAUAGCUCCCUCUGCAGUGGCCACCCAGGCCAGUCACCUAUGAGCAGUGAGGGUCCUUAGAGAAGGUCCCCGUGCCACCACCCCGUGAGCAGCGAGGGUCCUUAGAGAAGGUCCCCGUGCCACCACCCCGUGAGCAGCGGGGGUCCUUAGAGAAGGUCCCCGUGCCACCACCCCGUGAGCAGUGAAGGUCCUUAGAGAGAAGGUCCCCGUGCCACCACCCCGUGAGCAGCGAGGGUCCUUAGAGAAGGUCCCCGUGCCACCACCCCGUGAGCAGUGAGGAUCCUUAGAGAAUGUCCCCGUGCCACCACCCCGUGAGCAGUGAAGGUCCUUAGAGAGAAGGUCCCCGUGCCACCACCCUGUGAGCAGUGAGGGUCCUUAGAGAAGGUCCCCGUGCCACCACCCUGUGAGCAGUGAGGGUCCUUAGAGAAGGUCCCCGUGCCACCACCCUGCAAGAGUCUGAGGCAUCCAAGCAUGUGGCAGUGGACAGAGCGUCAGGGCACAGAGGGUGCACAGAGUAGGUGUGCUUGGGGUGCUCGGUGUGCACAGUGUGGGGCUCUGUGGCCAGAGGCCAUGCCCUGGCCAAGGCCUUCACCUCCGUCAAGCGAUAAGCGUGGCAGCUCCAGGGUUGAAUGCCAGUCACGCUUUAUUUGUAAGUAUUUACUCACUUGGCCAAAGGUCAACCGGCUCGGCCAGCGGAGGCUUGGGGACCCGGGCUCCUGCAGACCCCAGGCACUGAGCGCAUGCAUGCUUGUCCCAGCCGAGUCACAGUGCCCGCGGCAGCUGUGCACCACUCCAGGAGGACCCGGGCUUCUGCAGGAGCUCCUCCCCCGGAGCAGAUGAGGCCAGCACUGCACCGUCACACCAGCUGCUCAGGUGGACACCAGGUGACCGAGACCCUCUCACGGUGAAGAUGCGCACACCUGAUCUUACAUGUCCUCUAGACACAAGGAGGUCACCAGGGGAUCCCAGGGCCUGCGGCAGAGAGGUGCCACGCACCUGGGUACCUCUGAGGCUGCGGCCCAGCUGAUCCUGGCUACCGCUGACUCUCUACCACUUGUUUUUAACCAGUGUACGUGACCAAUAAUCCAUAUCUACCUGCUGCCUUCCACCAGCCCUUCCCCAGCCUCCUUCCUGCUGCUGACAACUCUGCGAGGUAGACGAGGUGGGCAUGUGGCACCCUGGCUGCAUCCUGGAGCCGAAGAGCAGGGCAGAAAUGAGCACCUGUGUGGCUCCAGAUCCAGCCCCGCCCCACCCUGGGAGUCUGUCCCCACACACCUCUUGGUCCCUGUUGGCAGUGGAGACCAUGGUGUCAGGAGCCACACUAGCUGUCCUCUUCCUCAGUCCGGGUGGCCCUUGGGGCAGCUUUGAAUGUGACACUCAGGGACAGUCCUGCUUUGCUCAGACUGUGUCCUGUGGGAGUGGCCUGAGUCUGGGGAUCCCGACACCCCUUCUGCCUCUACCCUAGGAAUAACCGGAGGUGGGGCAGGACUGUCCACAGGAGCCUGUUGCCACACACCUGCAGGUCACUCUGAACUUCCCAGGACCCCAGAGAGCCUGGACCAAGGGGGACAGAUGCCCCCAACCAGCCGCAGAGUCUCACUGCUGGACAGCAGCCCCCGCUGGUGGCGAGGCUGACCGUUCUCAGGACGAGGCUGGGGGCACGGCGUGGAAUGCUCAUUCCUGGAGGGCGGCGGGCUCUCUCUGCCUGGGAACUUCAGCGGGGGCCCUGGUGCAUGUCCGUGUUAGGUCCCCGGCUCUGACUGCAGCCCCACGCCAGCUCUGCCCUACACGGAGGCCACGGGGACCCGGCUCUGGGUGCUGGCGUGACGCUGCUGAGCUGCGCCUCCCGUCUGUCCGACCCCCUCUGCUGCCGACUGGGCCCGACUCAGUGCUGGGGAUGGAAUCCAGGGCUUCACGUGUGCUGGGCAAGCGCUGACCACUGAGCAGCACCCCGCCUAAGGAUGCUUUCAACCACGAUACACGGGUGCGUUUCUUCCUUCCCCUCCCGUCAUGCCUCAGCAGGAGCAUCGGUCAGUUCCGGCGUGGCUCCCAGUCUGUGUGCAAAGGGAAAGCUCCUUCUCAGAACUAGGCUGGACACCUGGCCCUUUGCAGGACUCUCCGUCUGCAAGCCGUCCCUGACACCGCAGCCAAGGCCUAGGGGCCACGGAGGCCUCCCUGCACCGCAGGAAUGGAAGCAGAAGGGCCGGCGGAUGCUGGCACAGCCCCACCCUGUCUUCUGUCAGGUGCGCCCUCGGCUGUCUGUCCCACGGGACCCCCCAGGCAAACCCUUGGCUGCAGAGCUGCUCCUUACCCAGAAGACAGCCUGCCCAGCAGGUCCAGGAGAAGGAGCCGCAGCCCACACGGUGACUCGCGCACGCUCGCAGCACCGUGCAGACAUUGGAAGGAUGGGUUUGGAUAUCUCAACGGGAAAAUGAAGACGGAAUGAUAUUCAAAAAUCUAAAAUGGCAGAGUGGAAAAUCAGAAUAGAAAAUCGUGGUGACGGGAAAUUUUAGCUAAGAGAAAAUGUAUGCAUGUGAGAAAUGGUAAUAGAUUCGCUCUUUUCAUCAGGAUGGAAACGUGCUUUUUGUGCAAGUUUUCUGUGACAUUUUCUUCUUUUUUGAUGUUCUGUUUUUACAGCUGAACAGUGUAUUUAGGUAAUGAAAGGACAUGCUUUGUGCGAUUGUGUGGUGAGUCCCGCACCUGCCUGAGCAGAGGCAGCCUGUGGACGGGCUGGCGACUGACGCCUCGCUGUGAAUGCGGGUGCCAGUUCUGGCCACAGACAGGCGUGUGGGCCGGGCGCAGGUACGCGGCACCACGCUUGGUGUGGCGGGUGGCUCACUGCUCGGCCCACUCCUUGUCCUCGAGGCACAGUCUUAAGUUAGCAUCCGUUGUCUCUGGGCCUGCGAGGGCUGCUGUUGCUAAGCGCCACGGUGGGUGCUUGACAACCGAGAAGUGCCGUCCACAGCUCAGGAGCCGGUGUCUGGGGCUGGGGCUGGGGAGCUGCUCCUUCGUGGCUGAGGAGGGUCUCCCAGACCUGGGCUCACAGGUGCCCGGGUCUCCCAGUCUGCCACACCAUUUGCUCUGUGUGCCUGUCCACCUCUGUGUCCUCAUUGCCCUUUCUGGGAGGACACCAGUCAUGUUGCAGCCAGCCACCCUAGGACCUCCCUAAGCCAGCCUCUGUGGAGGCCCCGUGCGGAGGUCCAGGGUGGGACUCCCUCUACCCUUCUGAGGGCAGACAUGAACAACCCACGAGGGCCUCUUCUCCCAAGACUGAAAACCCCUAGGACAGGAAGAGUCCCACUGGCCCCUUACACAUGGGAACUAAGAAGAGGAGUCUGCAGAGGAUGACAGUCCAGCAGCAGCAGGCCGUGAGCUGGACUGGGGUGGACUCUGCUGUUGGCCUUCGCCCUCCCGCUGGGUCCAAGCCGCGCCGGCCCCUCAGCCCUCUCUCUGAAGAAGGGGCUGUGGCAGGAGCCGUGGUGUCCAGAAUCUCACGCUUCAGUGUGCAGAAUGCAGGCAACAACCGCAGACACCACUUCCAGAGAGGCGAGGCGUUUCUGGGUAGAAAUACGAAUCUGAGGGAGCAGUUCAGUUGUCUGUUUCAGUGACCCCCAAAGUAGGAAGAGCUGACUCUGCAAGGCACCCCGGCCGGGAGCGUGGGCUAGUGCUGGGAGCCCCGUGCCCCCCAACCCUGCUCUCAGUCCACACCCUCACCUGGCGAGGGCCAGACGCGGCCACGAGCUCCGUGCCCGCCCAGCCCGGGUGACUGUAGGCCCAACGUCCCCUGUGCCUAGGGAAGAGCGUGGUCCAGAGUCUUCUGUCAGGUGAAGCACCCCAGAGAAGGGCAAGAGAGUGCCGCAGGGCCUGGGGCGAGCGCGAGGGCUCCGCAGGCCAGGGCAACGGACAGAGAGGAGAGGAGGCAUCGGCCACCCUGCACUGAGCCCCGGCUGCGGCCAGCUGUGCUUCAGAAGGUGGUCAUGCAGGGCCAGCACGGCACCCUUUCAGGGAGAGGCCAGCCGUUCAGCUGCAGGGCUUGGCUGCAGGCGGGCCACAUGUCAGCGCCCGCGAGUUCUGCGAGGACGCAGGCAGCGGGGCAGGAAGAGCCCAGACAGGCAGAGUGACACUGAGGCCCUGUCCCCUCUGCAGGAAACUCGACUCAAGUGGACUGAGCACCAACCACCAGACCAGGCCUGCGCCUGCUGGAAGGAAAUGUAGGCCCGACUCUCCAACUUGUUGGCUUCGGAACCGACCUCCUCCGCAGGACUCCUGACGCACAAGGAGAGAGGUCAUCCUGGGUAACAGGCUGCAAACGCAAGGCGGCGGCGGCGGAGUGGACAGAGUUGGCUCAGGCCUGGCCCUUCUGCAGGAAUCACGCUCUGGAGGCCUCCCGGCCGGCGGCCCAGCCCGGCAGGGCACACACCCUCCGUCACCACAGAGCACACGCACUCUGAAGUAUCACCCAGCUUGCUUUAGUUCACUGUUUAUCCACAAAUAAUUACUCAUAAAAUCUAUUCGCUUGGUCCUUCUUUUGGGACUUUGGGGUUUGCUUUUGUGGUGGAACAACAUGCUGCUAUUUAAGUAAAGCCUAAGUGGUCCCAAGAGCCCAGCCACCUUACGAGCCUCACGUGGUGCAGGCUGGGAGGCCUGCCUUCCUGCAGACGCACGCGCCUCCCCAGACCUGUACCAGGCCGGCUCUGCCCUGCCUCCAGAUGGGACCCUGCCCAGCUGAAGGUGCGACCCCUGGCCCCACCUGCCCAGGCGCUGCCAGCACUCCCCUGCCAGCAGCCCGGGCUGCGGGAGCUGGCAGGCCCUGCGGCGGCCUCAGCGCCUCCUGGCUCAACGCAUUUGGUUGGGGCUCGGGCACAGGUUCCUAAAGCCACCCCAGAAGGUCGUCUGGGGCAGCCUGGGUGGAGGACGCCGCUGUCACCCCUGGACCCAAGAUUGACAGACACAGCCCACUGGCUCCUGGUGCGGGGGCAGGGCACAGCCUCAGGAUGCCAGCAGUUUGCCCAUGUCGCAGCAGUGGGCCCAGGACUGUGCCCAGAUGGCCUGGCUGAGCACACUGCCCCCCCAUCUCCCCAUCUCUGCAGCUCUCACCUACCUGCACCAGAGGAACUGCACCUCCCCUCGCAGUGUAGACUGCGGGUGCUGCGUCAGGCAUGGACGUGCAGGGCAUUGUCUCCGGGAGAAUUCCAGUGAGGAUGCCUUCUGGAACUUUCCAAGGGCUUGGGACAAAUGAGAACAUGAACAGCCUGCUCACAGGGAGGGAAGAUGCUCAGAUGCACAGCCACACUGAGACCCUACUGGGCUCAGUCCCACGGCUUCCACCUCACCGGGCACCAAGCGCAUGGGGGUCUGCAUGGCCGCCCAGGCCCCCUCAGCACCCACCUCCUUCAGCCCUCGCCAGCCGCAGGGUGCCAGGCCCCCUGGGCUAUGUCAGGGAAGAGGACACAGGACCAGAGUAGUGUGCAGAGCCGGUGGCAGCAUGUGGGUGAGGAAGGACGUGGAACGACUGUGCUCCUGCACGAGGCUCUCGGUGGCCCUCGGGGCCAGGCCAGCUCGAUCCUCGGCCUGCGGUCCUCUGCGAGCUUCAGAUCUAACACUCUUCCACGCUUCCUCCUGCUGCUCCCGUGGCCUGAGGCCUUCCUUGUCACUUAAGAAAUAGCAUUUUAAACUUGUGAAGCAGCAGUGUUGAAGUCACGUGCGGUUAAGAAGGAAAAGUGGUUUCUAAACCCCAGAGGCCUGGGAGGAGGGAAGGGCAGCACACAGGCCCCGAUGGCCAGUCCAGCGGGCGGCAGGACUCCAGCAGCGAGGCCAGACCCAGCGCUGUGCUGAGCACACUCUGGGGCCGAGGAGCAGCUCUGAACCAACCUCUGCCCCUGACUGCAGAGAGCAGGCCAGGAGGGUGGCCCUGCCCAGAGGCAGGGCAGGAGAGCAGUAGGAGUGCGCGGCAGGGCUGGACGCUCCCUCGCAGCCACGUGGCUCUGGAGGCACGGACCCCGCUGGUACUCAUUUUUCUGGUUUAUGAAGAGGAUGACCAAAGAAUGUGUAUAAUUUUAAAAAGAAAUUCAGAGAUGGUGCAAUGUGUCUACGGCUCAGAAAUCCCUGGUCUUGGUCUUCAUCUGCAACCCCUGUAGAUUUCCA
Sciurus carolinensis (gray squirrel) is the source of this 13368-nucleotide RNA transcript. It is a transcript of the gene named dishevelled binding antagonist of beta catenin 2, with no coding region annotated. The transcript has 5 exons. Lineage: Eukaryota; Metazoa; Chordata; Mammalia; Rodentia; Sciuridae. The record is from RefSeq and is a predicted model, not a curated record.